This 293-nucleotide ribosomal RNA is filed under the name uncultured bacterium. RNAcentral describes it as "partial 16S ribosomal RNA". It matches the Rfam family "Archaeal small subunit ribosomal RNA", at positions 455 to 747 of the family's 1478-position model. The record is from RNAcentral.
GUGCCAGCAGCCGCGGUAAUAUCGGCAGCUCAAGUGAUGUCCCAUAUUAUUGGGCCUAAAGCGUCCGUAGCUGGCCGACCAAGUCUCCCGGGAAAUCCACCCGCCCAACGGGUGGGCGUCCGACGGAAACUGCACAGCUUGGGACCGGAAGGCUCGAAGGGUACGUUCGGGGUAGGAGUGAAAUCCCAUAAUCCCGCACGGACCACCGAUGGCGAAAGCACUUCGAGAAAACGGAUCCGACAGUGAGGGACGAAAGCUAAGAUCGCGAACCGGAUUAGAUACCCGAGUAGUCC